This 492-nucleotide ribosomal RNA is filed under the name uncultured bacterium. Its description in RNAcentral is "partial 16S ribosomal RNA". It matches the Rfam family "Bacterial small subunit ribosomal RNA", at positions 29 to 507 of the family's 1533-position model. The record is from RNAcentral.
AGUGAACGCUGGCGGUAGGCCUAACACAUGCAAGUCGAACGGCAGCACAGUAAGAGCUUGCUCUUACGGGUGGCGAGUGGCGGACGGGUGAGGAAUACAUCGGAAUCUACUUUUUCGUGGGGGAUAACGUAGGGAAACUUACGCUAAUACCGCAUCCGCCCUACGGGUGAAAGCAGGGGAUCUUCGGACCUUGCGCGAUUGAAUGAGCCGAUGUCGGAUUAGCUAGAUGGCGGGGUAAAGGCCCACCAAGGCGACGAUCCGUAGCUGGUCUGAGAGGAUGAUCAGCCACACUGGAACUGAGACACGGUCCAGACUCCUACGGGAGGCAGCAGUGGGGAAUAUUGGACAAUGGGCGCAAGCCUGAUCCAGCCAUACCGCGUGGGUGAAGAAGGCCUUCGGGUUGUAAAGCCCUUUUGUUGGGAAAGAAAAGCAGCAGGUUAAUACCCCGCUGUUCUGACGGUACCCAAAGAAUAAGCACCGGCUAACUUCGUG